This 1991-nucleotide ribosomal RNA is filed under the name Francisella tularensis. RNAcentral's name for it is "partial 23S ribosomal RNA". It matches the Rfam family "Bacterial large subunit ribosomal RNA", at positions 366 to 2349 of the family's 2925-position model. Lineage: Bacteria; Pseudomonadati; Pseudomonadota; Gammaproteobacteria; Thiotrichales; Francisellaceae. The record is from RNAcentral.
GAUAGUCCCGUAUACGAAAUAAUCACAGUGGAACUAAGCAUACGAACAAGUAGGACGGGGCACGUGGAACCUUGUCUGAAUAUGGGGGGACCAUCCUCCAAGGCUAAAUACUCCUGAAUGACCGAUAGUGAACUAGUACCGUGAGGGAAAGGUGAAAAGAACCCUUAUAAAGGGAGUGAAAUAGAAUCUGAAACCGCUUGCAUACAAGCAGUAGGAGCAUGAUUUAGUCAUGUGACUGCGUACCUUUUGUAUAAUGGGUCAGCGAGUUAUUUUUAGUGGCGAGGAUAACUGAAUAAGGGAUCCGUAGCGAAAGCGAGUUUUAAUAGGGCGACUAGUCGCUAGGAGUAGACCCGAAACCGGCGCGAUCUAUCCAUGGCCAGGUUGAAGAUUAGGUAGUACUAAUUGGAGGACCGAACCCAAUACUGUUGCAAAAGUAUGGGAUGAGCUGUGGAUCGGAGUGAAAGGCUAAUCAAGCACGGAGAUAGCUGGUUCUCCCCGAAAACUAUUUAGGUAGUGCCUCGUGUAUAACUCAUUGGGGUAAAGCACUGUUUCGACAAUGGGGGUUUUACGACCUUACUGACUCGAUGCAAACUCAGAAUACGAUGAAGUUCGAUCACGGGAGACACACUGCGGGUGCUAAGGUCCGCAGUGGAAAGGGAAACAGCCCAGACCGCCAACUAAGGUCCCAAAGUCAUAGCUAAGUGGGAAACGAAGUGGGAAGGCCCAGACAGCCAGGAGGUUGGCUUAGAAGCAGCCACCCUUUAAAGAAAGCGUAAUAGCUCACUGGUCGAGUCGGCCUGCACGUAAGAUUUAACGGGGCUAAGCUAUGCACUGAAGUUGCGGAAUAUAUUUAGUAUAUUGGUAGGGGAGCGUUCUGUAAGCCGAUGAAGGUGAAUUGAGAAGUUUGCUGGAGGUAUCAGAAGUGCGAAUGCUGACAUGAGUAACGUAAAAUAAGUGAGAUUCUUAUUGGCCGAAAACCCAAGGGUUCCUACGCAAUGUUAAUCAACGUAGGGUAAGCCGGCCCCUAAGGCGUAGCUGAAGAGUGAAGUCGAUGGGAAACAGGUUAAUAUUCCUGUGCUGCUUAUAUGAACGAAGGAGGGACGGAGAAGGUUAGGUAGGCCUGGCGAAUGGUUGUCCAGGUGAAAGUAUGUAGGUAGGAAUGCUAGGCAAAUCCGGUGUUCUGUUGAUCUGAGAUACGAGACGAAGUUAAACUUGUUUGACGAAGCUAUUGAUACCAUGCUUCCAGGAAAAGCUUCUAAGUAUAUUGUAUAAGUGACCGUACUGUAAACCGACACUGGUGGGUAGGUAGAGAAUACUAAGGCUAUGAGAUAACUCUGGUGAAGGAACUAGGCAAAAUGACACCGUAACUUUGGAAGAAGGUGUGCCCUUGAUGGUGAUGAGACUUGCUCUUUGAGCUGUUGGGGGUUGCAGAUACCAGGUGGCUGCGACUGUUUAUCAAAAACACAGCACUCUGCGAAAUCGUAAGAUGAAGUAUAGGGUGUGACGCCUGCCCGGUGCUGGAAGGUUAAUUGAAGGGGUUAGCGCAAGCGAAGCUCUGGAUCGAAGCCCCAGUAAACGGCGGCCGUAACUAUAACGGUCCUAAGGUAGCGAAAUUCCUUGUCGGGUAAGUUCCGACCUGCACGAAUGGCGUAACGAUGGCCACACUGUCUCCACCAGAGACUCAGUGAAAUUGAAAUCGCUGUGAAGAUGCAGUGUACCCGCGGUUAGACGGAAAGACCCCGUGAACCUUUACUAUAGCUUUGCACUGGACUUUGAAUAUUUAUGUGUAGGAUAGGUGGGAGACCAUGAAGCAGCUACGCCAGUAGUUGUGGAGUCGUCCUUGAAAUACCACCCUUGAAUAUUUGAAGUUCUAACUCAGGAGAGAUUCGAGGACAGUGUAUGGUGGGUAGUUUGACUGGGGCGGUCUCCUCCUAAAGAGUAACGGAGGAGUACGAAGGUGCACUCGGUACGGUCGGAAAUCGUGCCAAGAG